GGAAGCAGGCCUUCCGCAAUCGGUAUGCAGGUGCAGGUUGCAAAACACCCAUAGGUGCUAUAGACAAAAGCUACGGUAUUGAGCGUAUGAGGAAAAGGCAGUAAAGAAACUGUCAGU
Molecule: non-coding RNA, 117 nt
Organism: Clostridium sp. FS41
Lineage: Bacteria; Bacillati; Bacillota; Clostridia; Eubacteriales; Clostridiaceae
Source: Rfam